GACGAACCGUCCAAACGUUAUUCGGAAUUACUGGGCUUAAAGGGUGCGUAGGCGGCGCGGAAAGUUGGGUGUGAAAUCCCUCGGCUCAACCGAGGAACUGCGCUCAAUACUACCGUGCUCGAGGGAGAUAGAGGUGAGCGGAACUUAGGGUGGAGCGGUGAAAUGCGUUGAUAUCCUAAGGAACACCGGUGGCGAAAGCGGCUCACUGGAUCUCUUCUGACGCUGAGGCACGAAAGCUAGGGUAGCGGACGGG
RNAcentral lists this ribosomal RNA (253 nucleotides) under uncultured bacterium. RNAcentral's name for it is "partial 16S ribosomal RNA". It matches the Rfam family "Bacterial small subunit ribosomal RNA", at positions 524 to 776 of the family's 1533-position model. The record is from RNAcentral.